AUGUUCAGGUGCUUUGUUUGCAAGUUGAAUUUUGAUACAGUUACAGAGUUAAUUCGCCAUCUCAAGAUUACUCAUUCUAUUUUUCCUGGCAGAAAGUUACAGUUGGUAUGCGAUCAGGAUGGGUGUUGUCAAAGAUUUGUUACAUUCUCUGGCUUUAGAAAACAUAUCCAAUGUAGACACAACAGUAAAAGCUCUGAAAUGCAUUCAUUAGAACCUCCCUCUAGUCCCUCUGUCGUGCAGUCCUCCAGCACAGUUUCAGAAAACCCAAGCACAAGUGGUCAUGAGAGAACAUUGCGAACCCAAGAAAUGUGUGCAUCUCUAAUUGCAAAACUGCAGAGUAGUGGAGUACCCACCAAUGUAGUUACAUCAGUGGCUGAAAAUAUGGAGGAACUUGUGUAUGAAUUGCACUCAAACAUUAAAGAGGAUGUUGUUAAGUUGAUUGAAACUGAUGAACACAGGAACGCUAUUGAAGAAUAUUUUGACAGUCUUGAGAAUCCCUUCUCUAAGUUCACAACAGAAACAAAAUGGAAAAAGUAUUUCUUUGAGACUUGGGGUGUUGUAGAACCAGUUGAAAUACCUUUAGGACAGAGAUAUGACACUAGGCGAAAUACAGCUACAGGUACAUACGAUCAGGUGCCAGUCACUGAUAAAUUUGUAUAUGUUCCUUUAUUGCAGACUUUAAGUUUCAUGUUCCGAAAUGAAGAAAUCCAUAAACAUUUUGUACAGCCAAGUGAGGAGAGAGAAAUUUUAAGAGAGUUUUGUGAUGGUAGCUAUUUUAAAGAGCAUUCCCUUUUUUCCAAAGAAAAUAAGUCUCUUCAAAUACAACUUUUUUAUGAUGAUUUUGAAACCUCAAAUCCUCUGGGAUCCAAACAUGGCAUGCAUAAGGUUGGGAGUAUGUAUUUUGUUUUGAGAAACCUGUCUCCUAAGGUCAACUCUGCCCUAAUGAAUAUCCAUCUUUUGGCACUUUUUCACACACAAGAUGUCCAGCGGUAUGGCUUAAAUGCAAUCCUGGAGCCUAUUGUGCGUGAUAUUAAAAUUCUUGAGAGUUCUGGAAUUAAGUUGCCACUCUCUGAAGAACCAAUACGUGGAACAAUAGCUCAAGUAACUGGUGAUAAUCUGGGGGUGCACACACUCUUUGGGUUUGUACAGUCAUUUAGCGCAAACUACUUUUGCAGGUUUUGUCUAAUUGAUAAGCUUUCUUCUCAGACCAUUUUCUUUGAUGACCAUCCAGACAUCAUACUGCGUGACAGAGUUUUACAUGCUGAGCACUGUCAAAGUCUUCUUACUGAUGAUGCUUCACAGUCAUCAUUUGGUGUCAAAAGAACAUGUUUACUUAAUGAGUUGGAGUAUUUUAAUAUUUCUGAAAACUAUGCAGUGGAUAUCAUGCAUGACUUGCUAGAGGGAGUAGCACAGUUCGAGAUGAAGUUGCUUUUUGAUUAUCUGUCGGAGAGCAAAGUUGUGUCCUUACAGUCUGCGAGCAACAGAAUUUACUCAUUUAACUAUGGUUAUGUUGAACGUAAAAACCGACCUACCAUGAUUAAAUUUGAACAACCUGGGAAUGGGUUGGGUCUCAAUGCCAUCCAGACAUUUUGCCUCAUUAGAAAUCUGCCACUGAUUUUUGGAGAUCUGGUUGAAGUAGGAAAUAAGCACUGGAGGUUACUGCUGCUUCUACUGCAUAUAAUAAAUAUAGUUUUUUCUCCAGUCAUCUCGAAUGGAAUGACCGUUUAUCUGAAACAUUUGAUCUGUGAACACCACACGCUGUUCAAACAACUCUAUCCAAGAAAUCUUAUUCCCAAGCAUCACUUCAUGAUCCACUAUCCCCGAUGCAUCAGGAAGAUAGGCCCACUUGUUCAUGUUUGGGGGAUGCGCUACGAGGCAAAACACCGCUUUUUUAAAAAAAGUGUAAAAAAUUUCAAAAACAUUACCAAGUCAUUAGCACUUAAACAUCAGAUGGCUAUCGCAUAUCACUAG
This 1971-nucleotide long non-coding RNA is filed under the name Carassius auratus (goldfish). Its description in RNAcentral is "lncRNA (ENSCARG00000024530.1)". Lineage: Eukaryota; Metazoa; Chordata; Actinopteri; Cypriniformes; Cyprinidae. The record is from RNAcentral.